RNAcentral lists this ribosomal RNA (717 nucleotides) under Phellinus sp. BAB-4960. RNAcentral's name for it is "eukaryotic LSU rRNA". The stretch from base 298 to 451 matches the Rfam family "5.8S ribosomal RNA". Lineage: Eukaryota; Fungi; Basidiomycota; Agaricomycetes; Hymenochaetales; Hymenochaetaceae. The record is from RNAcentral.
GUAAACAAGGUUUCCGUAGGUGAACCUGCGGAAGGAUCAUUAAUGAGUUUUGAAACGCGGGGUUUGCUGCUGGCGGAAACGCAUGUGCACGGCCCCGUGCUCAAUCCACUCAACCCCCGGUCCCUUUAAGGGAAGUUGUUAUUGGGUUUUACCCCUUUUAGAAGGGGGGGAGGCAUGUAGUCUUACUUAGGACGAAUGCUUUUCUCUUUUGAUGGUGCCGACGAAGACUUCAAUUUAUUUUUCAACCAUAACUUGUUAUGUUGAAUGUAAUUGCUCCUAGUGAGUGAAAUAAUAUACAAUUUUCAACAACGGAUCUCUUGGCUCUCGCAUCGAUGAAGAACGCAGCGAAAUGCGAUAAGUAAUGUGAAUUGCAGAAUUCAGUGAAUCAUCGAAUCUUUGAACGCACCUUGCGCCCCUUGGUAUUCCGAGGGGCAUGCCCGUUUGAGUGUCAUGUUCAUCUCAACCCCCAAGUUUUUGUUGACUGUGGAGCGUUGGACUUGAAGGUUGCUGGUCCCUUUCUUUAUGGGUCGGCUCCUUUUAAAUGUAUUAGCUGGGUUUUGACUCGCGUUUGUUACGGUGUAAUAGUAACUUGUUCACCGGGGCGCUUGUCUAGUGGGUCCGCUUCUAAUCGUCUUCGGACAAGAUUAAUUGACCAUUUGACCUCAAAUCGGGUAGGAUUACCCGCUGAACUUAAGCAUAUCAAUAAGCGGAGGAAAA